GUUGGUGGUAGUGUCUGUAGGUAAGGUAACUCUGAUAUGAUGUCAGAAUAUCUGGGAUAGCCCUGUGUUGGUGGUAGUGUCUGUAGGUAACUCUGAUAUGAUGUCAGAAUAUCUGGGAUUGCCCUGUGUUGGUGGUAGUGUCUGUAGGUAACUCUGAUAUGAUGUCAGAAUAUCUGGGAUUGCCCUGUGUUGGUGGUAGUGUCUGUAGGUAAGGUAACUCUGAUAUGAUGUCAGAAUAUCUGGGAUAGCCCUGUGUUGGUGGUAGUGUCUGUAGGUAAGGUAACUCUGAUAUGAUGUCAGAAUAUCUGGGAUAGCCCUGUGUUGGUGGUAGUGUCUGUAGGUAACUCUGAUAUGAUGUCAGAAUAUCUGGGAUAGCCCUGUGUUGGUGGUAGUGUCUGUAGGUAAGGUAACUCUGAUAUGAUGUCAGAAUAUCUGGGAUAGCCCUGUGUUGGUGGUAGUGUCUGUAGGUAAGGUAACUCUGAUAUGAUGUCAGGAUAUCUGGGAUAGCCCUGUG
This is a long non-coding RNA of Pecten maximus, 514 nucleotides long. RefSeq lists it as uncharacterized. The transcript has 3 exons. The record is from RefSeq and is a predicted model, not a curated record. NCBI's taxonomy places the organism in Eukaryota, Metazoa, Mollusca, Bivalvia, Pectinida, Pectinidae.